RNAcentral lists this ribosomal RNA (429 nucleotides) under bacterium. RNAcentral describes it as "partial 16S ribosomal RNA". It matches the Rfam family "Bacterial small subunit ribosomal RNA", at positions 355 to 776 of the family's 1533-position model. The record is from RNAcentral.
UGGGGAAUCUUCCGCAAUGGGCGCAAGCCUGACGGAGCAACGCCGCGUGAGUGAAGAAGGUCUUCGGAUCGUAAAGCUCUGUUGAUGGGGACGAACGUGCCUAAUGCGAAUAGUAUUAGGUAAUGACGGUACCCAUCGAGGAAGCCACGGCUAACUACGUGCCAGCAGCCGCGGUAAUACGUAGGUGGCGAGCGUUGUCCGGAAUCAUUGGGCGUAAAGGGAGCGCAGGCGGGCAUGUAAGUCUUUCUUAAAAGUGCGGGGCUCAACCCCGUGAUGGGAUAGAAACUAUGUGUCUUGAGUACAGGAGAGGAAAGCGGAAUUCCCAGUGUAGCGGUGAAAUGCGUAGAUAUUGGGAGGAACACCAGUGGCGAAGGCGGCUUUCUGGACUGCAACUGACGCUGAGGCUCGAAAGCCAGGGGAGCGAACGGG